GAAGAUCAAAUAUUCAUUUGGAAUGACAAAGACUCAACUUCUAUGAAUUAUCUGAUACCAAAUUCUUUUUGAACAUAACCCGGGGACUUGCUUUUCUACGUGACAACAAGCCUGAACCUAUUGUUCAUCCUUCGAUUGGAACCAGGGAACAUUUUGUCAGCUAGGAGCUAAACAAGAUUGGCGAUGUUGGACGUCUCCUGUCCUGUUGUGCCUGAUGGUUGCAUCGUGUGCAAAAGAAACUAUUCUUCCUGGUACAUCUUAUGACAUGGAUCCUGGAUAGCAAGGAACUGGCAGUGUUUGUCCCAGCAAGCUCACUGACAGGGCUUACCCAAUGGCCCGA
This 340-nucleotide long non-coding RNA is filed under the name Musa acuminata (dwarf banana). Its description in RNAcentral is "long non-coding RNA (MACU_LNC003054)". The record is from RNAcentral. Lineage: Eukaryota; Viridiplantae; Streptophyta; Magnoliopsida; Zingiberales; Musaceae.